GGCGAACGGGUGAGUAAUGCAUCGGAACGUGCCCAGUCGUGGGGGAUAACGCAGCGAAAGCUGUGCUAAUACCGCAUACGAUCUAUGGAUGAAAGCGGGGGACCGUAAGGCCUCGCGCGAUUGGAGCGGCCGAUGUCAGAUUAGGUAGUUGGUGGGGUAAAGGCUCACCAAGCCAACGAUCUGUAGCUGGUCUGAGAGGACGACCAGCCACACUGGGACUGAGACACGGCCCAGACUCCUACGGGAGGCAGCAGUGGGGAAUUUUGGACAAUGGGCGCAAGCCUGAUCCAGCAAUGCCGCGUGCAGGAAGAAGGCCUUCGGGUUGUAAACUGCUUUUGUACGGAACGAAACGGUCUGGGUUAAUACCCUGGGCUAAUGACGGUACCGUAAGAAUAAGCACCGGCUAACUACGUGCCAGCAGCCGCGGUAAUAC
Molecule: ribosomal RNA, 433 nt
Filed under: uncultured bacterium
Lineage: Bacteria
Description: bacterial SSU rRNA
Rfam family: Bacterial small subunit ribosomal RNA
Source: RNAcentral